This 5888-nucleotide long non-coding RNA is filed under the name Sus scrofa (pig). RNAcentral's name for it is "lncRNA (ENSSSCG00055000088.1)". Lineage: Eukaryota; Metazoa; Chordata; Mammalia; Artiodactyla; Suidae. The record is from RNAcentral.
AGAGUAGGUUAACUGCGGUAUAGUCAAACAACAGAAUGCUUUACAAAGGCAAUUAGGAGGAAUUAAACACAAGAUUUUAUCAAAUCCAAUCUAUCACAAUUUAAGAAGCGUCGUAAUUUCUCAGAUGUUAAAUCAUGAAAAAGUAGAACAUGUAGUAAAUAUAGCUAUACCUCAAAGACAGAGUAUUAGGGAAAAACGGGUUUCAAAUUAUAGAUACAACGGAUUUUUCCCAUAAAAUUAAAAAAAUAUACAAAAUAGCCCUCUGUACUUUUUUAAGUAUACAUAUGUAAGAAGAGAAUGAAAACAUACAUGGGAAUGGUACACAUUAAUAUCAGGAUAGUUAUUUCUUAGUGAAGAAAGGGGGAAGAAUGAAAAAAGGUCAAAUUUUAGCUGCAUCUCUUAGUAUUUCCUUCCUUCCUCCUUCCUGCCUGCCCACCUUCCAUCCUUUCUCUUUUUGCUUUUUAGGGUCACACCUGCGGCACAUGGAAGUUUCCGGAUCAUUAACCCACUACGCAAGGCCAAGGACUGAACCCACGUCCCCAUGGAUACUAGUCGGGUUCCUUACCACUGAGCAACAAUAGGAACUCCCUUAUUUCUUAUUAAAAAAGAAAAAAGGAAAGCAUCUUUUACAUAAAGUGAGUUUCUCUACCCCAUGAAAGGACAGACACAAAUGCACUCACUCUAUAACACUAUUCUGGAAUGUUUAUUCUUAAAAGACAAAGAAACAUUGCUUGUUAAACAUUCCUGAGAGAUUUUAUUGCUCACCUUCAGAGAGGAGAGAGAACGCGCGCGCGCGCGCGCGCGUGCGUGUGUGUGUGUGUGUGUGUGUGUGUGUGUGCAGUUUUUACUUGAAAAUUGAAAAAAUAAAAUGAAAAAAUGUGCCAUGCACAAUAUAAAAUGUGAGCUCUAUCAAGAUUUUGGGAAAUAAACAAUUACUACAUUAUAUAAACUGAAAAUAUAUCUAUUUUUUCCCACAGAAAAAUGGGGACAGCGUUCCAACACACUCUAAAGGCUAGCAAAACCCUUCAUACCAAUACUGGAGUAAGGAAAACACACAACAACAACAAAGUAACAAACCAAUCUCAAUACUCAACAUGAAUGAAUAAUAUAAGGAUACUGAGUGAAAUGUUAUUAGCACUCUGAGUCUAGCAGUAUGACCAAACUGGGUUAAUCCUACCAAAGCAAGGAUGAUUCUAUAUAUGAAAUCUAUUCAUAUAAUUCGUUACACUGAUAGCACACACACAUAUAUAUAUUUAAAACAUUAACUGCCAUGCAAACAUGGGAUUCAACACACAUUCCAGAUUUUAUUUUUCUUUUUUAGUAACCCUGAUUAAACAGAAAUAGAAACUUUCUCAAACUGAAAAAGGACAGGGUGCUUUCCAUUUAACAAUGCUCUGGAAGUGCCAACCAACAUAAUUAGACCAGAAAAACAUGACAUAUAGUAGCGGAACAAUCUGAAACACCAGCAAAACUGUUUAAGAGAGUGUUCUGUAUCUAACAAAUCCAAGAGAAUUAACCGAAAACCUAGUACAACUAAUAAAAGCUCAGCAAAGUGGCUGCAAAUAUAACACAGCAGGCACAACCAGUCAGAUAACAGAAUAACAAUAACAAUGUUAGCAAUAACAACAAAAUCCAUAAAGUAUCUUUUUGAAGAGGUAAAGCCUAUUCUUAUGAAGAAAAUAGCAAAAUUAUAUUGAAAGGAAGGACUUCAAAAAAACUUAUCUCAGUGGGUCGACUCGAUAUUGUAAAGAUGUUGAUAUUCUGUAAGGGGAAAUAACAAGAAUAGCAAAGAAUAACACAUAAGACAUUGUUAAAAUUAAAAUUAAGGGGAAAAUUUCAGACUAAAUAUAAAAACUUAUUAUAUAGGUUUAGUAAUCACAUUAGAUAUUGGUACAGGCAAAGACAAAGAGAUCAAUGAAACAUGAGUCCAAAACCAGGUCCAAGGAGAUAAAGAUCUUUACUUCAUGAUAAUAUACGGCAAUUCAAACCAGUGGUUAUAAAACAAACCAUACAAUAAACUGUGUUAAGAAAAGUAAGUAUACACUUAGGACAAAAUUGAGUUGGACCACAAUUAUGCACAACAGACAAAAGUAAUACCCCGAUGGAUUAAAUGAUCUAAUGUUUAAAAACAAGUACAUGUAUUAGAAUAUGUGUUAGAAGAAGAAAAUAUUUUCAAAAUCUUGUAGUAAGCACAAAACUCAGAGGCCACAAUGAAAAAUACUGACAGCUAUAAUCUCACAAAGAGGAAGAACUCCUGUACUAUGUGACAGAAGACACCAUUUAAAACAAGCUUAAAGAUAAGGGACUCACUAGCGGAUAUCUCGCAUAUAUUUAACAGGCAGGUGAAUAACGUGAGAAUACAUAGAGAGCUCAUGGAAGGGUGGCAAACUCACUGGUAGCAUAUAUGCUAGUCCAAAAUUGCAGUACCUUUUUCUUUUUUGUAACAAAAUGUAUCAGGGUGUGGAUAAAGUCUCUAACCCAGGCCUACCUCCUCCUUUUUCACCCGGAGAUAACCACAAUACUAAAAAGACAAGGAGGUAAAUAGAAAAAUGGGAAAGAAUAUGAACAAGUAGAAAGAACCAAUCAAAAGGAAAAAUGUUUCAUUUGUAACUGGCAAAAUGCAAAUGAAAACAAAGUAAUUUUAUAACCGCAGGACUGACAGAAAUUAAAAGCAGUACUGAUUGGUAGACUUUUGGGAAAGUCAUUUGGCAGAAUCAAAGGGAACUCCACGAUUCUCUGCCUAGAAACUAUUUCUUAUAGGAAAUCUGGCACUUCAGCACAAAGAAAUACAUAGGAAAGAUCAUUUUACUGUACUGUUUGUAACAGUGAAAAAUGUAAAUACCCCAAAUGCCCAUCUAAAUAGAAGCGUGAUUAAAUAAAUCAUGGCAUAUCUAUACAAUGAAUCUUACACAAUUACUAAUAGGGUAAGAUAAACCCACAUGUGCUGACAGCUUUAUAAAAACAUUAAGUAGAGGAAAAGGUUGUAGAAAGGUACAGUAUGGUCCCACUUGGAUAAAACAGAGGACAUACAGGUAUAUACGAGUGAGAAACUUAGACCUGAAAUCCUGAUCUAGUGAACCAAAAGAUGAUUUUUGUGUUUUGCCCUGAAUGCCUAUGUUGUUUCUAGCUCCUUUCUUUUUUAUUUUAUUUCUAUUUCUAAGGCUGUACCUAUGGCAUAUGGAAGUUGCCCGGCUAGGAGUUGAAUCAGAGCUGCAGCUGGGGUCUAUGCUGCAGCUUGCGGCAACACCAGUUCCUUAACCCACUGAGUGAGGCCAGGGAUCAAACCUGCCAGCUCACAGACACGAUGUUGGUCUAAGCCACAACGGGAACUCCUCUACCUCCUUUCUAUGGGAAAGUAUUUAGGAAGUACCUGUGUGAGGUUUUACAUCAGAAAAGAUGUUCAACUGACUGUUACUUAACGUGAAUGUUGUCUUGCUUACCUGAGUAACAGAACUACAGAACUCAGUUCUAACAAUUACUAGUUAUGAACACUUUGAAGCUCGAGGACAAGGUAAUUGCUUCUUCAGAGCAAACUACUAAGCUAAGCUAAUCUUAGAGUUAACUAACGGAAUUCCCUGUUCAUAGUCCUUUCAACUGUAUUACACACCCUUCUAAAGCUGUCAUGUUUAAAGGCCUAAUAGAGCCCCAGCUUUCUUCUUUUGCUCCCAAAUGAGCAUAUCUGGUACACACCUAACCUUGAAACAUUCACACACCACCUUGAAGGGGCUAAUGGUAUUAUCAUCUCUCUGGGAUUCUUACGCAUAACUACAGGCACUCAAGAGGCAUAAUGCAGACUAGUGAACCUAGUUACUCAUCCACUCAAGAAUGUAAAUUAUGUAAAGGAAAUGAAAUUACAUUUUCAACCAUUGCUUUCUAAGAUCUCGGUCUGAAGCAUAAAUAGAAAGCAGUGUUGGUUUAAGUAAACUAUUUGAAUUCCGGUCCAAAUCAAUGGCAUAAGCAUUAUUUCAGACCAUCAACUCUGACUGGCUCUCCUCUUUGACCUCUGGGCAACACUGUAAAAUGUCGAUAGGACUCACUUCUUACAAUGUAGGCAAACAAGUAACAGAGUAUCCCAUAAAAUGUGGCUAAUACUAUGUGAUUGCCUUGACUAGGAGAUGCCAACACAACUUGAGAAUUACGUCAAUACUUCUUCAGGAUUUAUUAAUAUUUAUUCCAUCAAUGUCAGUUUGAUGACUAAUAUUUGAGGUAGUAGAGAAAGGGCACAGCUUUGGAGUAAAACAGAUGUGAUCAACUCCUAAGUCAUCACUUCAGAGAAGAGGAAUCUCAAGGAAACCACAAUCUGUGACCCUCAAUUCCCUCAUUUGUUAAAGGACCUACCAUCAAUCACUACAGUGAGGACUGCAUGAGAUGACAGUAUUUUGUGAAGCUUUUAGUAAGGUUAUCUGGCACAACACAUGAUCAGAUUCCUUCAUCUUAAAUCGAACAAUUUUUAAUGUCUGUUAUUCAUCUACAUUUUAAGGCUGUAAAGUUUAGAUUUAUUCAACAGUUUUGAGUACUAACUGCACUAGGCACUGUGAUGAGUGCUAGAGCCAAACUAGUAAACAAAAAGACCAAUUCUGUCUUCAUGCAGUUUACAAUGUUGGACAUAGUGGGAUAGGCAUUAAUCGGAUACCCCAAAUGCCAACUGUGCUAAGCUCUAUAAGAAGUAAGCUAAGAGGACACAGAACAGCGGGGUUUGCCCUGAUCAGAGAAAUCUAUAAAGGCUUCCUUAGGGAAAAUCCUUACUUGUAGUGUGAAUAGGAAACAACUAGAUAUAGCAGAAAAAAGGAAGAAUGCUCCAUGCAGAAAGAAUAGACUUUUGCUUUAUCUUUUGGAUGUCUAUAUACCUUUAAAUGCACCCUAAUAGCUUGUGCCUCUGGCAAUCAGGUACACGGGGACUGAAAGAAUGGUGCAGCUGACACAGACUAAGAAGAAAAGACUGGCUAGACAGGAGUGACCAAAGAUGCAGAGCUCUGUAGGUCACAUGCUAAACGCAAUGGUGAAGUGUUAAAGGGUUUGUAUGUAGGGUUUGCUGUUGCUGCUGCUGAUGGGAUCACUGUAUUUCACAAUAGUCUGGCUACACUGUGAAAAUGAAUUUGAGGUCAGGCAAGAGUAAACGUGAGCAGAUGAGUUUGGAUGCAAAGAAAUGAGAACUUAAAGAAGAUGCAAUGGUGAAAAUAUUAGAAAAAUUCCAGGGAUAAUCAGAAGGUAAAGUCAAGAGGACUUGACGACAGACUGGUUAUGAUUCUAAGAAAGAGGAGGAGUUGGAAGCAAUUUCUAGAUUGCUGAUUUAUAUUACUAGCUAAAUGAUAGUUCUAUUUUCAGAGAUAUGAAAAUGAGCAGAAACAGGAAGGAAAGGUUAUGUACUCAGUUUUAGACGUGUGGGUCCAAAGAAUUUUUUUAAUUAAAAAAAUAAUUUUUUAAAAAAAGGCCCAGAUCAUGCUACUCUUCUACUUAAGUCCUACAAUGGAUUCCCAUCAAACUUUGGAAAAAACACUUGAGAAGCAUACAGGCAUGAUCUGGCUCUGCUAUCUUCUGACUUUCUCUCCUACUCUGGUUGCUUUCACUCCAGAAACAUUGCCUUCUUGAAAUACCUGAUGGACUCAUUCUUCCCUAAGGACUUCUGUACUUACAUCUUCCCUCUGCCUAUAAUCUUUCCCCUCAUGCAGCUGGAUCCCUCACUUAAUGAAAGUCUAUGAUCAGAUGUCACCUCCUCAGAGAACCUUCUAUGACUAUACUCUGUAAAACAGCCUUCCUACUGAGAGGCUAGCUGGAGAAAAAAGCUGAAUGAAAUCCGCAGUCUUGCUAUGCUAAAGGGAAAGGCCCUACACGUAAUACAAGUCUUAGUCUGAAGACUUCUGAACCUAACAAAACCUGCAGUUCAAGCC